CUACGGGUUGCACCAGUGGGGAAUAUUGGGCAAUGGAGGCAACUCUGACCCAGCAACGCCGCGUGAAUGAUGAAGGUCUUCGGAUUGUAAAGUUCUGUGAGGAGGGACGAACAAAUGACGGUACCUCCUGAGGAAGCCACGGCUAACUACGUGCCAGCAGCCGCGGUAAUACGUAGGUGGCAAGCGUUGUCCGGAAUGACUGGGCGUAAAGGGAGCGUGGGCGGUCUGUCAAGUUAGAAGUGAAAUCCCGUGGCUUAACCACGGAACUGCUUUUAAAACUGAUGGAGUGAGUGAUGGAGAGGAAAGCGGAAUUCCUAGUGUAGCGGUGGAAUGCGUAGAUAUUAGGAGGAACACCAGUGGCGAAGGCGGCUUUCUGGACAUUAACUGACGCUGAGGCUCGAAAGCGUGGGGAGCAAACAGGAUUAGAUACCCGUGUAGUC
This 440-nucleotide ribosomal RNA is filed under the name uncultured bacterium. RNAcentral's name for it is "partial 16S ribosomal RNA". It matches the Rfam family "Bacterial small subunit ribosomal RNA", at positions 339 to 795 of the family's 1533-position model. The record is from RNAcentral.